Molecule: long non-coding RNA, 1691 nt
Filed under: Oryctolagus cuniculus (rabbit)
Lineage: Eukaryota; Metazoa; Chordata; Mammalia; Lagomorpha; Leporidae
Description: lncRNA (ENSOCUG00000037601.1)
Source: RNAcentral
AUGUCGCGAGCAGCGCAGGUGGUGGUGGUGGUGGGUGGGUGGGGCGUGUCCCGCGCAGCCCCGAGGACACGCCCGUUUCUGCGGUGGACUGAGCGCCUAAAAAACAAACAACAACAACAACAACAACAAAAAAAACACGCCUGUGCGUUCGUUUCGUUCAUUCAUCUAUCUGCCCUUCAGACACAGAUCCAGCCUGUGUUGCACACUCACACUCGGGCAGCCAGAGCGCAGAUGGACAGCGAUGGGGAGCAGCCAUCCCAAGAGCAAAGGCAAAGGGACCAUGAGCCCGAGGAGGCAGCGGCGAAGCCAGUCUUGAACGUGGAGGACGCAUGGGUUCAUCAAGAAGAGAGGUUUGGGAAGUUGCAAGGCCUGGGAAGGCAUCCAAGGGAGAGGAAGGGCACCGACCCAGGUCUUGGUUUGCUAGAGAUGAGAUGGGGGCGGCGCUUGGAAGUGUUCCUGCACCGAGGAAGAAAUGGAGGCGGCGUUAUUUCCAUAGGUGAACCCUGGCCUGCCUCCCUCCAGGAAGCCUCAAACCAUGAAGGGCUCAGGGGCCGGGAGCCGAGCCAGGCUGUGUCCUGCUGUUGCAGUUCGGUAGCAAGCUCAGCUCCCAAGUGAGCUGUCAGGGUGCAGGCGAAGGCCGGGGUCUGGAUCCUGGAAGACAGGGUGGGGGGAGGGGUUGGAGAGGGGAGAGGAGCUCCUCUGAUUAUGAGUAAGGAAGGGUCUCACAGCUGGAUUUCAGCCCCUCCCCCAUCGGGAGCAGGGAGACCUUCAGCUAGAUUUCUUCCCCUCCAAACAUGAGAUCCGCCAAAGCAGGAGAAUUUGCCAACAUAGAGAGGAGUUCCAAGUCUCCAAACCCAAGGAAAUGAUAAGGGUCUCCCAUGCAGGUGCAGGGCCCAAGGACCUGGGCCAUCCUCCACUAUACUCCCGGGCCACAGCAGAGAGCUGGACUGGAAGAGGAGCAACCAGGACAGAAUCCAGCGCCCGGACCAGGACUAGACCCGGGGUGCCGGCGCUGCAGGUGGAGGAUUAGCCUAGUGAGCCACGGCGCCGGCCAAAAGUCUUUUUUAAUUGGAAAAGAGAGAGAGUGAGUUCUGAGAAACUUGAUGACGAUCCUCGGAGUGGACGACUGGCUACCUAAUUUGCCGGGCCCAGUACAGAAUGAAAACGCAGCCCAUUGUUCACAACCAACUGUGAAUCUCCAGACAAUGAGAGCUGAGCACUAAAUCAAGAGCCAGGGCCUCUGGAGAGUGACCGCACCACCACACGCCCAUGAAGCUGACUCCACUGGUGCUUGUGUGUUGCACGGGUUCAUUGAAGGCUUUUUUUGAACUUGAAGGUUUGGGGCCGGCAUCGUGGCUCAGCAGGUUAAGUUGUCAGCUGUGACACUGCAGCCUAUCGUGGUGCGCCAGUUCAAGUCCUGAUUGCUCCACUUCUAAUCCAGCUCCCUGCUAAUGGCCUGCAAAGGCAGGAGAUGGCUCGAAUCCUUGGCCCCUGCACCCAUGUGGGAGACCCGGAUGGAGUUCCAGGCUCCUGGCUUCGACCUGGCCCAGCCCUUGGUUGUUGUUGCCAUUUGGGAAGUGAACCAGAAGAUGGAAGACUCUCUCUCUUCCUUUCUCUCUCUCUCUCUGCUCCCCUCCUUCUCACUGUUCCUUUCAAAUAAAUAAAUACAUCUUUUAAAAAAAUGUACCUGC